Molecule: microRNA precursor, 78 nt
Filed under: Schistosoma mansoni
Lineage: Eukaryota; Metazoa; Platyhelminthes; Trematoda; Strigeidida; Schistosomatidae
Description: mir-3492 microRNA precursor family
Rfam family: mir-3492 microRNA precursor family
Source: Rfam by way of RNAcentral
AGUUUUUUGAAUCCGUGCUGAGAUUUCGUCAGACACCAACCUAUUCGGGCUGUUCAGACUACCAAGAUAAGUGAAAUU